RNAcentral lists this ribosomal RNA (460 nucleotides) under uncultured bacterium. Its description in RNAcentral is "partial 16S ribosomal RNA". It matches the Rfam family "Bacterial small subunit ribosomal RNA", at positions 338 to 795 of the family's 1533-position model. The record is from RNAcentral.
CCUACGGGAGGCAGCAGUGAGGAAUAUUGGUCAAUGGACGAGAGUCUGAACCAGCCAAGUAGCGUGAAGGAUGACUGCCCUAUGGGUUGUAACCUUCUUUUAUAAAGUAAUAAAACGAGGCACGUGUGCCUUUUUGCAUGUACUUUAUGAAUAAGGAUCGGCUAACUCCGUGCCAGCAGCCGCGGUAAUACGGAGGAUCCGAGCGUUAUCCGGAUUUAUUUGGUUUAAAGGGAGCGUAGAUGGGUUGUUACGUCAGUUGUGAAAGUUUGCGGCUCAACCGUAAAAUUGCAAUUGAUACUGGCAGUCUUGAGUACAGUUGAGGUAGGCGGAAUUCGUGGUGUAGCGGUGAAAUGCUUAGAUAUCACGAAGAACCCCGAUUGCGAAGGCAGCUUACUAAACUGUGACUGACAUUGAUGCUCGAAAGUGUGGGUAUCAAACAGGAUUAGAUACCCUGGUAGUC